Molecule: non-coding RNA, 574 nt
Organism: Momordica charantia (bitter melon)
Lineage: Eukaryota; Viridiplantae; Streptophyta; Magnoliopsida; Cucurbitales; Cucurbitaceae
Source: RefSeq, a predicted model, not a curated record
UCCGACUGAGGGAUCCCCGGAGAGAAUAUUUAAAGGGCGGUGGGCGGGUAGAUGGAAUUAUGGAACCAUCUUCAGCGUAUUAGAGUUGCCUUGGUCUGUAAUAAUUGUAGCCAAAACUGAAAGUCUGGGUGGUCGUUGAGCUGAAACCAUGGCUCAGAAAUUCGGGGGUGGGAGAAGCCCCGUUGGAACUCCAUCACUGGGUUGGUCCUUUGUAGUCGUCAUCACUUCCCUUCUCGCCGGCGCCUCCAUCGUCCACAACAUCUACAAACCAAAUCUUACCCUGCAUCCAGUGGAGAGUGUUCAAACAACCAACAAGAAAGAUCCUGAUUAAAAAUUAAUUAGUUUAUAACUUUUAGCCUAUAAUUUAGUUUAUUUCUUUCAAGAUACAAAUGUUGUUUUUCACCUGCUUUGACGUGAAAGUUCUCUAUUAUUGGGAGAGGAACAAAAGCACCUUUAAAGAUUCAUCUCGAGAGCUUUUAGUGUUAUAAAAUUCACCAGUUAUAAAGGAUACAUUCUCUCUUCUGUUAUUAUAAUUCUCUUUAUAUUAAUGUCAAAUGCAGUAGUUUUUUUGUAA